UCAUGAACUCCUUCAUUACUUCGAAAAUCGCAGAUCUGUUAUCAGCAAGUCACUUAUCCGUAAGCAUUCCCUUCCUUUUCACGUUCUAUAACUCGUCCCUAGUAUUUUAUGUACCCUUAAAAUAUGUAUGUGUUGCAUGCGCGUUUUGAACAGCACGUGUGUACCUGUAGGCACUAACACAAACAUUCUUCAACUCUAAAUUUACAUUGCAGUUUCAUGCAGCUAUUACAGAAAUGCAAAUUCAAAUCGUCAAGGUUAGAUGAACUGAAUUAGAAAGAAAGGCAGUGUUCGAAACUCACAGGCGCCAACGCGCCAAAUGCGCCUAAGAAAUCGGUCAUGGCGCUUACAUAAGAAAGGCUCUGCGCCAACGUGGCCCCUAAAAAUUGCCCCUCCACCUCCAAAAAAAUGCCGUUUUUCUGUGUGGUGAUUUUUCGGAAUUUCUCCCCAAGUUACAGUUAUUAGUUAUGUUACUAAAACAUCAUGCGUCUAACUUUUGAUUCAAUGCGCCGUGAUAUGUAGGCAACAAGUCAAUUUUGCCCCUAAAAAAUCUUCAAUGGCCCCUGAAAAUCGUGCUUGAUGCGCCACCUGGUUCCUGAAACUCAGAGGUGAGUUUCGGACACUGGAAAGGACCCAAGUUAUAUUUUGAAACGCAAUUAAGUAGUAAUAAUCCUAAGUUCAACCUUAUAUUCUCCUGUCAAGAAAUGAUGUUUGUAAAUUAUAUUUUCUAUUUCUCAUUUUUAUUUUUUCUUAUAAUAUCUAAAUUCAGUCUCACAGAGGAGUGAAAUCUUGUUCAGAUUUGGCUCCCUUCUUUUAGGCCCAGUUCUAUCACCGCUCGUUACGGGUUUAUCCUCGGGUUAAAAUUUGCGAAGCACUCUCAGCACCUUGUCACAUUUGAAUCCGAAGUUCAAGCUCUUGGUUCCAAAAUGUUCCACCAGAACCGUAAUUUUCAUGCGGACUGUGAAGUAUAAUAUUCCACAGAAUACCGUUGAAAGUUUGCAUCGACCAGAGUUCAAAAACCGUGGUUGGUAGAACUGGGCUUGAAACUAGGUCCAAACGCUACCGAGAAAAGAGAUUGGUAGAAU
RNAcentral lists this long non-coding RNA (1082 nucleotides) under Bemisia tabaci. Its description in RNAcentral is "lncRNA ENSSSA3NGG013152". The record is from RNAcentral. Lineage: Eukaryota; Metazoa; Arthropoda; Insecta; Hemiptera; Aleyrodidae.